GGAGCGGGAUUCGGCAAAGGAACAUAGUGAACCGGGUCAGGUGGGAAACCAAGCAGCCCUAAACUGUCCCUUUCUUGUGCCGGAUUCCGUUCCGGU
RNAcentral lists this signal recognition particle RNA (96 nucleotides) under Planctomycetaceae bacterium. RNAcentral describes it as "signal recognition particle sRNA small type". It matches the Rfam family "Bacterial small signal recognition particle RNA". Rfam says of the family: The signal recognition particle (SRP) is a universally conserved ribonucleoprotein involved in the co-translational targeting of proteins to membranes. Archaeal SRP consists of a 7S RNA and homologues of the eukaryotic SRP19 and SRP54 proteins. The record is from RNAcentral. Lineage: Bacteria; Pseudomonadati; Planctomycetota; Planctomycetia; Planctomycetales; Planctomycetaceae.